ACAUCCAGAGAACUUGGCAGAGAUGCCUUGGUGCCUUCGGGAACUCUGAGACAGGUGCUGCAUGGCUGUCGUCAGCUCGUGUUGUGAAAUGUUGGGUUAAGUCCCGNAACGAGCGCAACCCCUAUCCUUUGUUGCCAGCGAUUCGGUCGGGAACUCAAAGGAGACUGCCGGUGAUAAACCGGAGGAAGGUGGGGAUGACGUCAAGUCAUCAUGGCCCUUACGAGUAGGGCUACACACGUGCUACAAUGGCGCAUACAAAGAGAAGCGACCUCGCGAGAGCAAGCGGACCUCAUAAAGUGCGUCGUAGUCCGGAUCGGAGUCUGCAACUCGACUCCGUGAAGUCGGAAUCGCUAGUAAUCGUAGAUCAGAAUGCUACGGUCGAAUACGUUCCCGGGCCUUGUACACACCGCCCGUCACACCAUGGGAGUGGGUCGCAAAAGAAGUAGAUAGCUUAACCUUCGGGAGGGCGUUUACCACUUUGUGAUUCAUGACUGGGGUGAAGUCGUAACAAGGUAAGCGUAGCGAG
This 526-nucleotide ribosomal RNA is filed under the name uncultured bacterium. Its description in RNAcentral is "bacterial SSU rRNA". It matches the Rfam family "Bacterial small subunit ribosomal RNA", at positions 984 to 1509 of the family's 1533-position model. The record is from RNAcentral.